GCCAGCCCGCUCAGAAACUCAAAGGAAGUUGACGGGGCCCGCGACAAGCGGUGGAGUAUGUGGUUAAUUCGAUGCAACGCGAAGAACCUUACCUGGUCUUGACAUCCCGGAGACCCUUAGGAAACUAGGGGGUGCUUCCAUCUGGAAGAAUCUGGAGACAGGUGCUGCAUGGCUGUCGUCAGCUCGUGUCGUGAGAUGUUGGGUUAAGUCCCGCAACGAGCGCAACCCUUGCCUUUAGUUGCCAGCAGUUCGGCUGGGCACUCUAAAGGGACUGCCGGUGUUAAACCGGAGGAAGGUGGGGAUGACGUCAAGUCCUCAUGGCCUUUAUGACCAGGGCUACACACGUACUACAAUGGCCGAUACAAAGGGCAGCGACACUGCGAGGUGAAGCCAAUCCCGUAAAAUCGGUCUCAGUCCGGAUUGGAGUCUGCAACUCGACUCCAUGAAGUUGGAAUCGCUAGUAAUCGUGGAUCAGCAUGCCACGGUGAAUACGUUCCCGGGCCUU
This 505-nucleotide ribosomal RNA is filed under the name uncultured Desulfobulbus sp. RNAcentral's name for it is "bacterial SSU rRNA". It matches the Rfam family "Bacterial small subunit ribosomal RNA", at positions 885 to 1382 of the family's 1533-position model. Lineage: Bacteria; Pseudomonadati; Thermodesulfobacteriota; Desulfobulbia; Desulfobulbales; Desulfobulbaceae. The record is from RNAcentral.